GUGGGGAAUAUUGGACAAUGGGCGCAAGCCUGAUCCAGCAAUGCCGCGUGGGUGAAGAAGGCCUUCGGGUUGUAAAGCCCUUUUGUACGGGAAGAACUCAUUCGGGUUAAUACCCUGGGUGGAUGACGGUACCGUAAGAAUAAGCACCGGCUAACUUCGUGCCAGCAGCCGCGGUAAAACGAAGGGUGCAAGCGUUAAUCGGAAUUACUGGGCGUAAAGCGUGCGUAGGUGGUUGUUUAAGUCUGUCGUGAAAGCCAGGGGCUCAACCAUGGAAGGGAGAUGGAAACUGGGCGACUAGAGUGCGGUAGAGGAUGGCGGAAUUCCCAGUGUAGCGGUGAAAUGCGUAGAUAUCGGGAGGAACAUCCGUGGCGAAGGCGGCCAUCUGGACCAGCACUGACACUGAGGCACGAAAGCGUGGGGAGCAAACAGGAUUAGAAACCCGAGUAGUCC
RNAcentral lists this ribosomal RNA (450 nucleotides) under uncultured bacterium. RNAcentral's name for it is "partial 16S ribosomal RNA". It matches the Rfam family "Bacterial small subunit ribosomal RNA", at positions 354 to 796 of the family's 1533-position model. The record is from RNAcentral.